AGACCCGAAACCCGGUGAUCUAGCCAUGGGCAGGUUGAAGGUUGGGUAACACUAACUGGAGGACCGAACCGACUAAUGUUGAAAAAUUAGCGGAUGACCUGUGGCUGGGGGUGAAAGGCCAAUCAAACCGGGAGAUAGCUGGUUCUCCCCGAAAGCUAUUUAGGUAGCGCCUCGUGAAUUCAUCUCCGGGGGUAGAGCACUGUUUCGGCUAGGGGGCCAUCCCGGCUUACCAACCCGAUGCAAACUGCGAAUACCGGAGAAUGUUAUCACGGGAGACACACGGCGGGUGCUAACGUCCGUCGUGAAGAGGGAAACAACCCAGACCGCCAGCUAAGGUCCCAAAGUCAUGGUUAAGUGGGAAACGAUGUGGGAAGGCCCAGACAGCCAGGAUGUUGGCUUAGAAGCAGCCAUCAUUUAAAGAAAGCGUAAUAGCUCACUGGUCGAGUCGGCCUGCGCGGAAGAUGUAACGGGGCUAAACCAUGCACCGAAGCUGCGGCAGCGACACUCAGGUGUUGUUGGGUAGGGGAGCGUUCUGUAAGCCUGCGAAGGUGGCCUGUGAGGGUUGCUGGAGGUAUCAGAAGUGCGAAUGCUGACAUAAGUAACGAUAAAGCGGGUGAAAAGCCCGCUCGCCGGAAGACCAAGGGUUCCUGUCCAACGUUAAUCGGGGCAGGGUGAGUCGACCCCUAAGGCGAGGCCGAAAGGCGUAGUCGAUGGGAAACGGGUUAAUAUUCCCGUACUUGGUGUUACUGCGAAGGGGGGACGGAGAAGGCUAUGUUGGCCGGGCGACGGUUGUCCCGGUUUAAGCGUGUAGGUGUGUGUUCCAGGUAAAUCCGGUUCACUUUAACACUGAGGCGUGACGACGAGGCACUACGGUGCUGAAGCAACAAAUGCCCUGCUUCCAGGAAA
Molecule: ribosomal RNA, 906 nt
Filed under: Salmonella enterica
Lineage: Bacteria; Pseudomonadati; Pseudomonadota; Gammaproteobacteria; Enterobacterales; Enterobacteriaceae
Description: partial 23S ribosomal RNA
Rfam family: Bacterial large subunit ribosomal RNA
Source: RNAcentral